RNAcentral lists this ribosomal RNA (521 nucleotides) under uncultured bacterium. RNAcentral's name for it is "bacterial SSU rRNA". It matches the Rfam family "Bacterial small subunit ribosomal RNA", at positions 8 to 518 of the family's 1533-position model. The record is from RNAcentral.
AGGUUUCGAUUCUGGCUCAGGAUGAACGCUAGCUACAGGCUUAACACAUGCAAGUCGAGGGGCAGCAUUAUCGAAGCUUGCUUGAUAGAUGGCGACCGGCGCACGGGUGAGUAACGCGUAUCCAACCUUCCCUAUAGUAGAGAAUAGCCCGGCGAAAGUCGGAUUAAUGCUCUAUGUUGUAUUUAGAAGACAUCUGAAGAAUACCAAAGGUUUACCGCUAUAGGAUGGGGAUGCGUCUGAUUAGGUAGUAGGCGGGGUAACGGCCCACCUAGCCGACGAUCAGUAGGGGUUCUGAGAGGAAGGUCCCCCACAUUGGAACUGAGACACGGUCCAAACUCCUACGGGAGGCAGCAGUGAGGAAUAUUGGUCAAUGGACGGAAGUCUGAACCAGCCAAGUAGCCGUGCAGGAUGACGGCCCUAUGGGUUGUAAACUGCUUUUAUAUAGGGAUAAAGUCGGGGACGUGUCCCCGUUUGUAGGUACUAUAUGAAUAAGGACCGGCUAAUUCCGUGCCAGCCGCAGC